UGGGGAAUUUUGGACAAUGGGGGAAACCCUGAUCCAGCCAUCCCGCGUGUGCGAUGAAGGCCUUCGGGUUGUAAAGCACUUUUGGCAGGAAAGAAACGUCAUGGGUUAAUACCCCGUGAAACUGACGGUACCUGCAGAAUAAGCACCGGCUAACUACGUGCCAGCAGCCGCGGUAAUACGUAGGGUGCAAGCGUUAAUCGGAAUUACUGGGCGUAAAGCGUGCGCAGGCGGUUCGGAAAGAAAGAUGUGAAAUCCCAGAGCUCAACUUUGGAACUGCAUUUUUAACUACCGGGCUAGAGUGUGUCAGAGGGAGGUGGAAUUCCGCGUGUAGCAUUGAAAUGCGUAGUUAUGCGGAGGAACACCGAUGGCGAAGGCAGCCUCCUGGGAUAACACUGACGCUCAUGCACGAAAGCGUGGGGAGCAAACAGG
This 429-nucleotide ribosomal RNA is filed under the name Acidobacteriota bacterium. Its description in RNAcentral is "Acidobacteria bacterium partial 16S ribosomal RNA". It matches the Rfam family "Bacterial small subunit ribosomal RNA", at positions 355 to 776 of the family's 1533-position model. Lineage: Bacteria; Pseudomonadati; Acidobacteriota. The record is from RNAcentral.